RNAcentral lists this ribosomal RNA (492 nucleotides) under uncultured bacterium. Its description in RNAcentral is "partial 16S ribosomal RNA". It matches the Rfam family "Bacterial small subunit ribosomal RNA", at positions 29 to 507 of the family's 1533-position model. The record is from RNAcentral.
AGUGAACGCUGGCGGUAGGCCUAACACAUGCAAGUCGAACGGCAGCACAGUAAGAGCUUGCUCUUACGGGUGGCGAGUGGCGGACGGGUGAGGAAUACAUCGGAAUCUACUUUUUCGUGGGGGAUAACGUAGGGAAACUUACGCUAAUACCGCAUACGACCUACGGGUGAAAGCAGGGGAUCUUCGGACCUUGCGCGAUUGAAUGAGCCGAUGUCGGAUUAGCUAGUUGGCGGGGUAAAGGCCCACCAAGGCGACGAUCCGUAGCUGGUCUGAGAGGAUGAUCAGCCACACUGGAACUGAGACACGGUCCAGACUCCUACGGGAGGCAGCAGUGAGGAAUAUUGGGCAAUGGGCGCAAGCCUGAUCCAGCCAUACCGCGUGGGUGAAGAAGGCCUUCGGGUUGUAAAGCCCUUUUGUUGGGAAAGAAAAGCAGCAGGUUAAUACCCCGCUGUUCUGACGGUACCCAAAGAAUAAGCACCGGCUAACUUCGUG